This 433-nucleotide ribosomal RNA is filed under the name uncultured bacterium. RNAcentral describes it as "partial 16S ribosomal RNA". It matches the Rfam family "Bacterial small subunit ribosomal RNA", at positions 29 to 507 of the family's 1533-position model. The record is from RNAcentral.
AGCGAACGCUGGCGGCAGGCCUAACACAUGCAAGUCGAACGGACCCUUCGGGAUCAGUGGCGGACGGGUGUGUAACACGUGGGAACGUGCCCUUUGGUUCGGAACAACUCAGGGAAACUUGAGCUAAUACCGGAUGUGCCCUUCGGGGGAAAGAUUUAUCGCCAUUGGAGCGGCCCGCGUCGGAUUAGCUUGUUGGUGAGGUAAUGGCCCACCAAGGCGACAAUCAGUAGCUGGUUUGAGAGGAUGAUCAGCCACACUGGGACGGAGACACGGCCCAGACUCCUACGGGAGGCAGCAGUGGGGAAUCGUGCGCAAUGGGCGAAAGCCUGACGCAGCCAGGCCGCGUGAAUGAUGAAGGUCGUAGGAUAGUAAAAUUCCUUCAGCGGGGACGGUAAUGACGGUACCCGCAGAAGAAGCUCCGGCUAACUUCGUG